GACGAACGCUGGCGGCGUGCUUAACACAUGCAAGUCGAACGGAAAGGCCCUGCUUUUGUGGGGUUCUCGAGUGGCGAACGGGUGAGUAACACGUGAGUAACCUGCCCUUGACUUUGGGAUAACUUCAGGAAACUGGGGCUAAUACCGGAUAUGAUCUCCUGCUGCAUGGUGGGGGUUGGAAAGUUUCGGCGGUUGGGGAUGGACUCGCGGCUUAUCAGCUUGUUGGUGGGGUAGUGGCUUACCAAGGCUUUGACGGGUAGCCGGCCUGAGCGGGUGACCGGCCACAUUGGGACUGAGAUACGGCCCAGACUCCUACGGGAGGCAGCAGUGGGGAAUAUUGCACAAUGGGCGGAAGCCUGAUGCAGCAACGCCGCGUGCGUGAUGACGGCCUUCGGGUUGUAAACCGCUUUCGCCUGUGACGAAGCGUGAGUGACGGUAAUGGGUAAAGAAGCACCGGCUAACUACGUG
This 468-nucleotide ribosomal RNA is filed under the name uncultured bacterium. RNAcentral describes it as "partial 16S ribosomal RNA". It matches the Rfam family "Bacterial small subunit ribosomal RNA", at positions 28 to 507 of the family's 1533-position model. The record is from RNAcentral.